UACGUAGGGUGCGAGCGUUGCUCGGAAUCAUUGGGCGUAAAGCGCACGUAGGCGGCCUGUUAAGUCGGAUGUGAAAGCCCCGGGCUCAACCCGGGAAGUGCAUUCGAAACUGGCGGGCUUGAAUAUGGAAGAGGGUCGCGGAAUUCCCGGUGUAGAGGUGAAAUUCGUAGAUAUCGGGAGAACACCAGUGGCGAAGGCGGCGCUGGGCCAAUAUUGACGCUGAGGUGCGAAAGCGUGGG
Molecule: ribosomal RNA, 239 nt
Filed under: uncultured bacterium
Lineage: Bacteria
Description: partial 16S ribosomal RNA
Rfam family: Bacterial small subunit ribosomal RNA
Source: RNAcentral